GAUGAACGCUGGCGGCGUGCCUAAUACAUGCAAGUCGAGCGAACAGACGAGGAGCUUGCUCCUCUGACGUUAGCGGCGGACGGGUGAGUAACACGUGGAUAACCUACCUAUAAGACUGGGAUAACUUCGGGAAACCGGAGCUAAUACCGGAUAAUAUAUUGAACCGCAUGGUUCAAUAGUGAAAGACGGUUUUGCUGUCACUUAUAGAUGGAUCCGCGCCGCAUUAGCUAGUUGGUAAGGUAACGGCUUACCAAGGCGACGAUGCGUAGCCGACCUGAGAGGGGGAUCAGCCAAACUGGAACUGAGACACGGUCCAGACUCCUACGGGAGGCAGCAGUAGGGAAUAGUCCGCAAUGGGCGAAAGCAUGACGGAGCAACGCCGCGGGAGUGAUGAAGGUCUUCGGAUCGUAAAACUCUGUUAUUAGGGAAGAACAAAUGUGUAAGUAACUAUGCACGUAUUGACGGUACCUAAUCAGAAAGCCACGGCUAACUACGUG
This 497-nucleotide ribosomal RNA is filed under the name uncultured bacterium. RNAcentral's name for it is "partial 16S ribosomal RNA". It matches the Rfam family "Bacterial small subunit ribosomal RNA", at positions 28 to 507 of the family's 1533-position model. The record is from RNAcentral.